RNAcentral lists this ribosomal RNA (500 nucleotides) under uncultured bacterium. RNAcentral describes it as "bacterial SSU rRNA". It matches the Rfam family "Bacterial small subunit ribosomal RNA", at positions 899 to 1397 of the family's 1533-position model. The record is from RNAcentral.
ACUCAAAGGAAUAGACGGGGGCCCGCACAAGCGGUGGAGUAUGUGGUUUAAUUCGACGCAACGCGAAGAACCUUACCAGGGCUUGACAUUGAGUGAAAAACUUAGAGAUAAGUUCCUCCCUUCGGGGACACAAAAACAGGUGGUGCAUGGCUGUCGUCAGCUCGUGUCGUGAGAUGUUGGGUUAAGUCCCGCAACGAGCGCAACCCUUAUCCUUUGUUGCCAGCACGUUAUGGUGGGAACUCAAGGGAGACUGCCGCAGACAAUGCGGAGGAAGGCGGGGAUGACGUCAAGUCAUCAUGCCCCUUAUGUCCUGGGCUACACACGUACUACAAUGGGCUUAAACAAAGUGAAGCAAGACCGCGAGGUUGAGCCAAACACAUAAACAAGCUCUCAGUUCGGAUCGGAGGCUGCAACUCGCCUCCGUGAAGUCGGAAUCGCUAGUAAUCGCAGGUCAGCAUACUGCGGUGAAUACGUUCCCGGGCCUUGUACACACCGCCCGU